This 341-nucleotide unclassified non-coding RNA is filed under the name soil metagenome. RNAcentral's name for it is "partial contains 5.8S ribosomal RNA, internal transcribed spacer 2, and large subunit ribosomal RNA". The stretch from base 1 to 120 matches the Rfam family "5.8S ribosomal RNA", at positions 35 to 154 of the family's 154-position model. The record is from RNAcentral.
GAUGAAGAACGUAGCGAAAUGCGAUAAGUAGUGUGAAUUGCAGAAUUCAGUGAAUCAUCGAAUCUUUGAACGCACAUUGCGCCCUUUGGUAUUCCAAAGGGCAUGCCUGUUCGAGCGUCAUUUGUACCCUCAAGCUUUGCUUGGUGUUGGGCGUCUUGUCUCUAGCUUUGCUGGAGACUCGCCUUAAAGUAAUUGGCAGCCGGCCUACUGGUUUCGGAGCGCAGCACAAGUCGCACUCUCUAUCAGCAAAGGUCUAACAUCCAUUAAGCCUUUUUUUCAACUUUUGACCUCGGAUCAGGUAGGGAUACCCGCUGAACUUAAGCAUAUCAAUAAGCGGAGGA